This 497-nucleotide ribosomal RNA is filed under the name uncultured bacterium. RNAcentral describes it as "partial 16S ribosomal RNA". It matches the Rfam family "Bacterial small subunit ribosomal RNA", at positions 28 to 507 of the family's 1533-position model. The record is from RNAcentral.
GAUGAACGCUGGCGGCGUGCCUAAUACAUGCAAGUCGAGCGAACGGACGAGAAGCUUGCUUCUCUGAUGUUAGCGGCGGACGGGUGAGUAACACGUGGAUAACCUACCUAUAAGACUGGGAUAACUUCGGGAAACCGGAGCUAAUACCGGAUGAUAUUUUGAACCGCAUGGUUCAAAAGUGAAAGACAGUCUUGCUGUCACUUAUAGAUGGAUCCGCGCUGCAUUAGCUAGUUGGUAAGGUAACGGCUUACCAAGGCAACGAUGCAUAGCCGACCUGAGAUGGUGAUCGGCCACACUGGAACUGAGACACGGUCCAGACUCCUACGGGAGGCAGCAGUAGGGAAUCUUCCGCAAUGGGCGAAAGCCUGACGGAGCAACGCCGCGUGAGUGAUGAAGGUCUUCGGAUCGUAAAACUCUGUUAUUAGGGAAGAACAUAUGUGUAAGUAACUGUGCACAUCUUGACGGUACCUAAUCAGAAAGCCACGGCUAACUACGUG